This 588-nucleotide ribosomal RNA is filed under the name uncultured Glomus. RNAcentral describes it as "SSU rRNA". It matches the Rfam family "Eukaryotic small subunit ribosomal RNA", at positions 624 to 1213 of the family's 1831-position model. The record is from RNAcentral. Lineage: Eukaryota; Fungi; Glomeromycota; Glomeromycetes; Glomerales; Glomeraceae.
AAGCUCGUAGUUGAAUUUCGGGGUUAGUAGGUUGGUCAUGCCUCUGGUAUGUACUGGUCUCACUGAUUCCUCCUUCCUUAUGAACCGUAAUGCCAUUAAUUUGGUGUUGCGGGGAAUUUGGACUGUUACUUUGAAAAAAUUAGAGUGUUUAAAGCAAGCUAACGCUUGAAUACAUUAGCAUGGAAUAAUGAAAUAGGACGUUCGAUCUUAUUUUGUUGGUUUCUAGGAUUGACGUAAUGAUUAAUAGGGAUAGUUGGGGGCAUUAGUAUUCAAUUGUCAGAGGUGAAAUUCUUGGAUUUAUUGAAGACUAACUACUGCGAAAGCAUUUGCCAAGGAUGUUUUCAUUAAUCAAGAACGAAAGUUAGGGGAUCGAAGACGAUCAGAUACCGUCGUAGUCUUAACCAUAAACUAUGCCGACUAGGGAUCGGAUGAUGUUAAUUUUUUAAUGACUCAUUCGGCGCCUUACGGGAAACCAAAGUGUUUGGGUUCCGGGGGGAGUAUGGUCGCAAGGCUGAAACUUAAAGGAACUGACGGAAGGGCACCCCCAGGGGUGGAGCCUGCGGCUUAAUUUGACUCAACACGGGGAAA